RNAcentral lists this long non-coding RNA (1288 nucleotides) under Dicentrarchus labrax (European seabass). RNAcentral describes it as "lncRNA (ENSDLAG00005031133.1)". Lineage: Eukaryota; Metazoa; Chordata; Actinopteri; Moronidae. The record is from RNAcentral.
AUGUCUAAGGUAUUUUUAACUGUGUUUUGUGGUCUGUUUCUUUAUUUCUCUCUCAGAAACAUGGCCCAGGAAGCAGUUGUGUCGUGGAAAAAGUUCUGUAUCAUCUUGGCGGGAAAAACCUACGGGGCUCAUCAAGCCUUUGUUGCAAAGCUUAAAAGCAUCGGCCAAAUUAAGGUGAACUCUGUAGAAAAAAGUGACUACCUUCUGGUUUUCUGUCCCAUCACGACACGAGUUGGAACGGACAUCAGCGAGGCCAUGGAGAAACUUCCAGGUGGUAAACCAGCAAUUCUGGUGGUGAUGCAUCACACCUUCGAUCCUGACCAAGUUGUAUCUAAAAGCAGAAGACAAGUGGAAAAAUAUCCAAACGUCUACUUCACUGUGGACUGUCUGUUCCAUAAGGGCAAACUCCUGAAGUGUAAAUGCAAUGAUAAUGCAUGGUCUGAUGUCCAGAUGUGUCUUCCAAGAGGUCCCACGGUCUCUCAAGUCUUCAAGAAUUACACCAACAAUAAUUUGUGUUUCCUUCAGUGGCUGGCUGUCUUUUUAGUUAUUCUUUUAAUCCUAUUGCUGAUAUUGACGAUGAACUUUGACCAAAUAUUUGGUGUUGGAAGGAAAGUGAACAAUGAUUCGACUUGAAAGGACAAAGUAAAUGUUGUAUGUAAUGAAUGUGUAAUGAUCUGCAAAAAUCUAAUAUGUUAUUUUUUGUUGUCACUGACAUAUAGUUGUGAGGGCUGAUAUAUAUAUAUUUUUUGGCUGAAGCUUUUGAUCACUUCUGUAUCUGAAGCAAAAUAUGAUGAAUAACAGCUGCGGUUGGCGGGUUACCUGUGGUUUGGUUGUGUGGGUAUGGUGUUGGUUGCUUGUGGUGUAGGCUGAAGGGGGUGAUUUGCAAACCGCAAGGUAGCAUUGAGUCAAAUAGUCAAUAGUCAAAAUAAAAUAUAGGAACACUGCAGAUAGUAACAUUAUUCUUAAUAUGAUUAAAAUAUAUUUUCCAGUGUUGAAUUUUCAUUUCACGUUUGACCGAUGCCCAGGAUGAUGCUCGCUCGAUGAUGCAGUUCACUUAACGGCCACAGGCAUUAUUAUUAACAACGGCUUUCAAUAAUCCUUAAAUUAAUCUUAUUUAUAGGAAAUGUAUGUUGAUAUGUUGCAAUCAAGUCAUUUAAUGAGUAUGUAACACCGGGGGAACAAAAGUAACUUCACAACACCAGUAAUUGUGCUUUAGAAGUUUUGUACAUGUUUAAAUGUGUGUGAAACAAAUCUAAUAAAAAAUCAACAAAAUGAAUCAAAGUGUGUC